AGCUAAACUAGAUAGUAGCAGAGAUUAUAUACUUUCCAUUCAUUGACAAUAUCUCAACAGAACAUUGAGGUAAGGUCAAUAAGCAGAUCCUGUACACCCUCUUAUGUUCCUUGAACCAAAUCUGAACCAAGUCAUUCCACGAUGCCUCAAGAGACUGCCUAAUAACAGUGCUGCAAGUCUUUGAGGCAACCAUAUGAUUCCUAAAUCCCAUAUCAUUUCCUGAGAUACCACACUUUCCAUCUAUUGAGGACCUCUCAACAGAUUGAGCACUAAGUGCUAAUACCACACCUUGAGAGGAAAUCAAUAGAUAGAACUUGGUAUCAAAUUUGUACAUCUUGGUAUCACAUCAUGUCCCAUAUUGUAUGGAUCAGUGACACCAAUAUAUUCUGCAUGUCCAACAAACCAAAUGUAAUAAAUUGAAGCUGUUUGAACCACAUCAUUUCCAAGUUGUAUAGGAUCAGUGAUACUAACAGGUUUCCAAGUUUUUGCAUCAUCUAUUCCAUUAUAGGAGGCUCCAAAAUUCACCAAGAACAUGCAAGACAACUGGCUAGAACUGGGAAGAUCACCUCCACCUGAGCUUCCGAGGAAGACACGUCUCAAGGCGAAUAAUGAGUUUGUGGACAAAUCUAAGACCACAUAUGAUGCUGUCAUAUCUAAGAUUACACCUGUAUCUUAGCCUGAAGAUUGAUCCAGCGAACCUCCUACAAUUGACUUUUCAAAAAUUUAUUUGGAUGAAGUGGGUGGGAUUAAGAAGAUGCACCUUUAUGGUGUUGGUCUUCAAGCACCUUUCUAUGGGCAUGUUGGUGAAUCCUCCGCGCUCGACAUCUCGACUUUGAUGCUAGAGUGCAAGAAUUUGUUGGACAUCGUCUUCAAGAAAUGAAGCAUGAGAUGAGAGAAGAGAUCAAACAAGAAAUAAGGGAAGAAAUGCAACAAGUAUUGCGUGAAGAAUGAGACCUGAAGUGCAACAAGAGGUACAAGAGCAAGUUAAUCAGAUACUACAAGUACAUUGUUCGGGCCUCAUAGCUCGCUUACUUUCCCCUCCUUCUGGUAGACCUGACACGUCCUCGAAUCAUGAAACAAGUCAUAUUUAGGUCAAUUUUAGAUUGUUUUAUGUUAGACAUACUUUGGAUUGUUUC
Lycium barbarum (goji berry) is the source of this 1136-nucleotide long non-coding RNA. RefSeq lists it as uncharacterized. The transcript has 3 exons. NCBI's taxonomy places the organism in Eukaryota, Viridiplantae, Streptophyta, Magnoliopsida, Solanales, Solanaceae. The record is from RefSeq and is a predicted model, not a curated record.